AAAUGAAGACGAAUCUCUCGGUGCAGCUACCUGUGUGAUUGAGUUCCUCUAUCAUGAGUCUUGACUGAAUUAGGGUUAAGGUGAACUCAUCAAAUCCAACAUCAGUCAUAUGAAUCAAUCGAUCGAUCCGAGUCCGAUGUGAAAUCCCAAUGGAAAAUUUUUUUUUCAUUAUUUCACUCUGCCAUGACCAUGGGCUUAAGGACUCGAUCUUUCGAU
This 216-nucleotide long non-coding RNA is filed under the name Elaeis guineensis (African oil palm). RNAcentral describes it as "long non-coding RNA (EGUI_LNC057418)". The record is from RNAcentral. Lineage: Eukaryota; Viridiplantae; Streptophyta; Magnoliopsida; Arecales; Arecaceae.